GACGAACGCUGGCGGCGGGCUUAACACAUGCAAGUCGAACGGAAAGGCCCUGCUUUUUGGGGUGCUCGAGUGGCGAACGGGUGAGUAACACGUGAGUAACCUGCCCUUGACUUUGGGAUAACUUCAGGAAACUGGGGCUAAUACCGGAUAGGAGCUCCUGCUGCAUGGGGGGGGUUGGAAAGUUUCGGCGGUUGGGGAUGGACUCGCGGCUUAUCAGCUUGUUGGUGGGGUAGUGGCUUACCAAGGCUUUGACGGGUAGCCGGCCUGAGAGGGUGACCGGCCACAUUGGGACUGAGAUACGGCCCAGACUCCUACGGGAGGCAGCAGUGGGGAAUAUUGCACAAUGGGCGGAAGCCUGAUGCAGCAACGCCGCGUGCGGGAUGACGGCCUUCGGGUUGUAAACCGCUUUCGCCUGUGACGAAGCGUGAGUGGCGGUAAUGGGUAAAGAAGCACCGGCUAACUACGUG
RNAcentral lists this ribosomal RNA (467 nucleotides) under uncultured bacterium. RNAcentral's name for it is "partial 16S ribosomal RNA". It matches the Rfam family "Bacterial small subunit ribosomal RNA", at positions 28 to 507 of the family's 1533-position model. The record is from RNAcentral.